UUCCGGUUGAUCCUGCCGGAGGUCACUGCUAUUGGGAUUCGACCAAGCCAUGCGAGUCGCGAGGGUUCGGCCCUCGGCUGACGGCUCAGUAACACGCGGAUAAUCUGCCCUUAGGUGGAGGAUAACCUCGGGAAACUGAGAAUAAGACUCCAUAGAUCUAGGAGGCUGGAAUGCACUUAGAUCAAAAACUUCGGUGCCUAAGGAUGAGUCUGCGGACUAUCAGGUAGUAGUCAGGGUAAUGACCUGACCAGCCUAUGACGGAUACGGGUUGUGAGAGCAAUAACCCGGAGAUGAUAUCUGAGACACGAUAUCAGGCCCUACGGGGCGCAGCGGGCGCGAAAACUUCACACUGUGCGAAAGCACGAUGAGGGAAUCCCAAGUGCUGGCUCGUAAGAGUCAGCUGUUUUUCUGUCUAGAAAACAGAGAGAGUAAGAGCUGGGUAAGACGGGUGCCAGCCGCCGCGGUAAUACCUGAAGCUCAAGUGGUGGCCGCUAUUAUUGGGCCUAAAACGUUCGUAGCCGGUCUAGUAAAUGCCUGGGUAAAUCAUACGGCUUAACCGUACGAAUUCCGGGUAGACUGCUGGACUUGGGACUGGGAGAGGCUAGAGGUACUCCUGGGGUAGAGGUGAAAUUCUGUAAUCCUAGGGGGACGACCAGUGGCGAAGGCGUCUAGCUAGAACAGGUCUGACGGUGAGGAACGAAGCCCUGGGGCGCAAACGGGAUUAGAUACCCCGGUAGUCCAGGGUGUAAACGCUGCUUGCUUGAUGUUAGUCGGGCUCCGAGCCCGAUUAGUGUCGGAGAGAAGUUGUUAAGCAAGCUGCCUGGGGAGUACGGCCGCAAGACUGAAACUUAAAGGAAUUGGCGGGGGAGCACCGCAACGGGUGGAGCGUGCGGUUUAAUUGGAUUCAACGCCGG
RNAcentral lists this ribosomal RNA (914 nucleotides) under uncultured archaeon. RNAcentral's name for it is "bacterial SSU rRNA". It matches the Rfam family "Archaeal small subunit ribosomal RNA", at positions 1 to 921 of the family's 1478-position model. The record is from RNAcentral.